AUGAAUCCUUGGUUAAAGCUCAUAUGACUACCAAAGGUGGAAUUCAAGGUCUUCACUUCUCAAGAGAUAGCUGACAUGUUGCACAUAGAUGAAUCCUUGGUUAAAGCUCAUAUGACUACCAAAGGUGGAAUUCAAGGUCUUCCUUCUGAUUUCCUCAUCGCUCAAGCUACUGUUUAUGGGAAAGCCAUGAGUGAGGACGCCUUUGA
Molecule: long non-coding RNA, 206 nt
Filed under: Lathyrus oleraceus (garden pea)
Lineage: Eukaryota; Viridiplantae; Streptophyta; Magnoliopsida; Fabales; Fabaceae
Description: Pisum sativum (pea) long non-coding RNA (PSAT_LNC016321)
Source: RNAcentral